UGAAACACAGAACCCAGUACAUUUUAUUUUUUUCAAGAGAGCUGAUGGCUGCUGAAAAUCAGUAAAAAAUAAUUUGGAAGUUCCAGUUCUAUGACGUGUACCUUUCGAAAUAAGAAAGGUCGGCAAACAGCCGUUAUCUGUUAGCAAGAGCAACACUGAUCAUGUGUUGAACUCGGGUGGUACCGCGAAUGUUAGACUGAUUCGUCCCAAGA
RNAcentral lists this non-coding RNA (212 nucleotides) under Enterococcus durans. RNAcentral describes it as "T-box sequence". It matches the Rfam family "T-box leader". Rfam says of the family: Uncharged tRNA acts as the effector for transcription antitermination of genes in the T-box leader family. Lineage: Bacteria; Bacillati; Bacillota; Bacilli; Lactobacillales; Enterococcaceae. The record is from RNAcentral.